This 415-nucleotide ribosomal RNA is filed under the name bacterium AET13H. Its description in RNAcentral is "bacterial SSU rRNA". It matches the Rfam family "Bacterial small subunit ribosomal RNA", at positions 82 to 532 of the family's 1533-position model. The record is from RNAcentral.
CCUUUCGGGGAUAGUGGCGCACGGGUGCGUAACGCGUGGGAAUCUGCCCUUGGGUUCGGAAUAACUUCGGGAAACUGAAGCUAAUACCGGAUGAUGACGUAAGUCCAAAGAUUUAUCGCCCAGGGAUGAGCCCGCGUAGGAUUAGCUAGUUGGUGGGGUAAAGGCCUACCAAGGCGACGAUCCUUAGCUGGUCUGAGAGGAUGAUCAGCCACACUGGGACUGAGACACGGCCCAGACUCCUACGGGAGGCAGCAGUAGGGAAUAUUGGACAAUGGGCGAAAGCCUGAUCCAGCAAUGCCGCGUGAGUGAUGAAGGCCUUAGGGUUGUAAAGCUCUUUUACCCGAGAUGAUAAUGACAGUAUCGGGAGAAUAAGCUCCGGCUAACUCCGUGCCAGCAGCCGCGGUAAUACGGAGGG